This 468-nucleotide ribosomal RNA is filed under the name uncultured bacterium. RNAcentral describes it as "partial 16S ribosomal RNA". It matches the Rfam family "Bacterial small subunit ribosomal RNA", at positions 29 to 507 of the family's 1533-position model. The record is from RNAcentral.
AUGAACGUUGGCGGCGUGCUUAACACAUGCAAGUCGAACGGUGAACACGGAGCUUGCUCUGUGGGAUCAGUGGCGAACGGGUGAGUAACACGUGAGCAACCUGCCCCUGACUCUGGGAUAAGCGCUGGAAACGGCGUCUAAUACUGGAUAUGUGACGUGACCGCAUGGUCUGCGUUUGGAAAGAUUUUUCGGUUGGGGAUGGGCUCGCGGCCUAUCAGCUUGUUGGUGAGGUAAUGGCUCACCAAGGCGUCGACGUGUAGCCGGCCUGAGAGGGUGACCGGCCACACUGGGAUUGAGACACGGCCCAGACUCCUACGGGAGGCAGCAGUGGGGAAUAUUGCACAAUGGGCGAAAGCCUGAUGCAGCAACGCCGCGUGAGGGAUGACGGCCUUCGGGUUGUAAACCUUUUUUAGCAGGGAAGAAGCGAAAGUGACGGUACCUGCAGAAAAAGCGCCGGCUAACUACGUG